Molecule: ribosomal RNA, 229 nt
Filed under: uncultured bacterium
Lineage: Bacteria
Description: partial 16S ribosomal RNA
Rfam family: Bacterial small subunit ribosomal RNA
Source: RNAcentral
UGAAGAAUUUGUCCAACGGCGGGGGAUAGCCGGCCCAACGGCCGGGUAAUACCGCGUACGACCACAUGGGGACAUCCCUGAGUGGUGAAAGCAGCAAUGCGCCGAUGGAGUGCCUCGCGGCCUAUCAGCUAGUUGGUGAGGUAACGGCUCACCAAGGCGACGACGGGUAGCUGGUCUGAGAGGAUGGCCAGCCACAUUGGGACUGAGACACGGCCCAGACUCCUAGGAG